GACGAACGCUGGCGGCGUGCUUAACACAUGCAAGUCGAGCGGUAAGGCCCUUUCGGGGGUACACGAGCGGCGAACGGGUGAGUAACACGUGGGUGACCUGCCCUCAGCUCUGGGAUAAGCCCGGGAAACUGGGUCUAAUACUGGAUAUGACCCCAUGACGCAUGUUGUGGGGUGGAAAGCCUUGUGCGGCUGAGGAUGGGCCCGCGGCCUAUCAGCUUGUUGGUGGGGGAUGGCCUACCAAGGCGACGACGGGUAGCCGGCCUGAGAGGGCGACCGGCCACACUGGGACUGAGACACGGCCCAGACUCCUACGGGAGGCAGCAGUGGGGAAUCUUGCGCAAUGGGCGAAAGCCUGACGCAGCGACGCCGCGUGAGGGAUGACGGCCUGGU
Molecule: ribosomal RNA, 390 nt
Filed under: uncultured bacterium
Lineage: Bacteria
Description: bacterial SSU rRNA
Rfam family: Bacterial small subunit ribosomal RNA
Source: RNAcentral